CACCCCCACAACCCACACAGAUCCACACUGAAGCAUGCUUUCUAAUCCCACAGAAUCUAAAUGAUCUUGCCAAACCAAGAAAUUUUGAUAUUGAGUUAAAAAUUGAAGCAUAAAGAAGAAAACUGAUAAUUCCAAGCAAGAACGACAUACUAUUUUUUACAACUGAAUAGUAAUGAAAAGCUAAGAAAGCAAAUUAAAAAUCUCACACCAGAAAUCUUUUUUUUUUUUUCAUACUGAGGAUCGAACUCAGGACCUUGCGCUUGCAAGCAGGCAUGGCAGAAAUCUUCAUUAAGGAAAGAAGUCAGAGGAACAUGGAAAGAUGGGACAAAGUUUGUGAAGAGAUUCAAAGGUUCUACCAGGUUCUUCUUCAAAACAACUGGUCACAGAGAAAAAAAAAUCAAGUAAUUUGGUCAUGGGCUAUAUAUACAUAAUUUCAAAGAAUAAUCAAUAAAUUCUUUCUGAGGAUCAUGACAAGAUAUUCCAAAACACUCCAAGAUACUCCAAGAUGCUCAAGAUACUCCAAAGGCCCUGCAAGCUCUACUCAAGACAUCAAAUAAGCUGAGUCCUGAUAGAGACCUGUGGAGUUUGCAUCCAAAUCUUGCGUUUUUUCUAUUUUGCUCCAACUUCUCUGACUCACACUGUGGACUUCUCUAUCUCUGAUCCCAAAAC
Long non-coding RNA from Heterocephalus glaber (naked mole-rat), 669 nucleotides. The record is from Ensembl. NCBI's taxonomy places the organism in Eukaryota, Metazoa, Chordata, Mammalia, Rodentia, Bathyergidae.